GAUCGAACAGAGGCUGCAAAUAGAAUAAUAUGUACUAUCAGAAGUAGGAGACCUCAGAUGGUCAGAAGUGUUGAGGCACUUUGUGAUGCUUAUAUUAUAUUAGCAAACUUAGAUGCCACUCAGUGGAAGACUCAGAGAAAAGGCAUAAAUAUUCCAGCAGACCAGCCAAUUACUAAACUUAAGAAUUUAGAAGAUGUUGUUGUCCCUACUAUGGAAAUUAAGGUGGACCACACAGGAGAAUAUGGAAAUCUGGUGACUAUACAGUCAUUUAAAGCAGAAUUUCGCUUAGCAGGAGGUGUAAAUUUACCAAAAAUAAUAGAUUGUGUAGGUUCCGAUGGCAAGGAGAGGAGACAGCUUGUUAAGGGCCGUGAUGACCUGAGACAAGAUGCUGUCAUGCAACAGGUCUUCCAGAUGUGUAAUACAUUACUGCAGAGAAACACGGAAACUAGGAAGAGGAAAUUAACUAUCUGUACUUAUAAGUCCCUUAGCUACAUGGGAGGCUGAGGUGGGAGGAUCACUUGAGUCCAGGAGUUUGAGGCUGCAGUGAGCUCAAACUCUGCAGUGAGCCCCAGUCCAGCCUGAGCAACACAGCAAGAUCCCGUUUAAAAAAGAAGAAGAAGAAGAAGAUGCCAUUAUUUGGACCAGGAGUCUACAAAUGUUUUCUGUGAAGGACCAAAUAAUAAAGAUUUAUUUUCUUUGUAAAAA
This 705-nucleotide small RNA is filed under the name Pan troglodytes (chimpanzee). Its description in RNAcentral is "processed transcript". The record is from RNAcentral. Lineage: Eukaryota; Metazoa; Chordata; Mammalia; Primates; Hominidae.